Molecule: long non-coding RNA, 381 nt
Filed under: Lathyrus oleraceus (garden pea)
Lineage: Eukaryota; Viridiplantae; Streptophyta; Magnoliopsida; Fabales; Fabaceae
Description: Pisum sativum (pea) long non-coding RNA (PSAT_LNC002114)
Source: RNAcentral
UUCAAAAGAAACUCUGCAAACCCUAAAGAAAUUCUUUCCUCCCGGAGAAGACGACCGAAGGCGACGGCUCACGGCGGAGCCUCCCUUCUUCUCCGGCCACCCUACCCAAAACACAACUUAACCCACUAAAAACGACCUUCCGAGUUCGAAUCUGAACUCUAAAAACCCUAAGCCAAACUCAAACUUUCUAGAUCGGAGCGAAAUCCAACCGAUCUAAAACUUCUCCAAUCCCUAAACCCUAGUUUCAAGAUCAAGGCUUUUGCAUGUUACGAUUUAAAGAAAAUAACGGGGAUUUGUUCCACUUACCACGGGGAAGGAGGUGAAAAAUGAUUUCAGGCGAAAAAGGAGCAUUUUUGGUCCGAGUUUGUCACCGGCAAUCCG